RNAcentral lists this ribosomal RNA (521 nucleotides) under uncultured Gemmatimonadota bacterium. Its description in RNAcentral is "bacterial SSU rRNA". It matches the Rfam family "Bacterial small subunit ribosomal RNA", at positions 534 to 1056 of the family's 1533-position model. The record is from RNAcentral. Lineage: Bacteria; Pseudomonadati; Gemmatimonadota.
AUUGAAGGUGUCGGAUCCUGGGCGUAAGGGCGCGUAGGCGGUUCGGUAAGUCGUUGGUGAAAUCCCGGGGCUCAACUCCGGGGCUGCCGACGAAACUGCCGGGCUAGAGGCCGGUAGAGGCAGGUGGAAUUCCCGGUGUAGCGGUGGAAUGCGUAGAGAUCGGGAAGAACACCAGUGGCGAAGGCGGUCUGCUGGGCCGGUCCUGACGCUGAGGCGCGAAAGCGUGGGGAGCAAACAGGAUUAGAUACCCUGGUAGUCCACGCCGUAAACGAUGGGUACUAGGCGUCGGGGGGAGCGACCCCUUCGGUGCCGUCGCUAACGCAGUAAGUACCCCGCCUGGGGAGUACGGCCGCAAGGCUGAAACUCAAAGGAAUUGACGGGGGCCCGCACAAGCGGUGGAGCAUGUGGUUUAAUUCGAUGCAACGCGAAGAACCUUACCUAGGCUUGACAUGCACGUGAAAUCCAGUGGAAACACUGGCCCCUCUUCGGAGCACGUGCACAGGUGCUGCAUGGCUGUCGUC